UAUGACCACAUCAUGUUGAAAUACUGGUUUCUGUAUGAUCACUGAAGUUAAGCAAUGUCGAGCCUGGUCAGUACCUAGAUGGGUGACAGCUUGGGAAUACCAAGUUCUGUA
Molecule: ribosomal RNA, 111 nt
Filed under: Acanthosepion pharaonis
Lineage: Eukaryota; Metazoa; Mollusca; Cephalopoda; Sepiida; Sepiidae
Source: RNAcentral